This is a non-coding RNA of Picea glauca (white spruce), 71 nucleotides long. NCBI's taxonomy places the organism in Eukaryota, Viridiplantae, Streptophyta, Pinopsida, Pinales, Pinaceae. The record is from Rfam.
GCACCAAUGAUUUAGUGGUAAAAUAAUACCCUUCCACAGUACAUAAGCAAGUUUGAUUCUUGAUUGGUGCA